CUGGCGGCGUGCUUAACACAUGCAAGUCGAACGGAAAGGCCCUGCUUUUGUGGGGUGCUCGAGUGGCGAACGGGUGAGUAACACGUGAGUAACCUGCCCUUGACUUUGGGAUAACUUCAGGAAACUGGGGCUAAUACCGGAUAGGAGCUCCUGCUGCAUGGUGGGGGUUGGAAAGUUUCGGCGGUUGGGGAUGGACUCGCGGCUUAUCAGCUUGUUGGUGGGGUAGUGGCUUACCAAGGCUUUGACGGGUAGCCGGCCUGAGAGGGUGACCGGCCACAUUGGGACUGAGAUACGGCCCAGACUCCUACGGGAGGCAGCAGUGGGGAAUAUUGCACAAUGGGCGGAAGCCUGAUGCAGCAACGCCGCGUGCGGGAUGACGGCCUUCGGGUUGUAAACCGCUUUCGCCUGUGACGAAGCGUGAGUGACGGUAAUGGGUAAAGAAGCACCGGCUAACUACGUGCCAGCAGCCGCGGUGAUACGUAGGGUGCGAGCGUUGUCCGGAUUUAUUGGGCGUAAAGGGCUCGUAGGUGGUUGAUCGCGUCGGAAGUGUAAUCUUGGGGCUUAACCCUGAGCGUGCUUUCGAUACGGGUUGACUUGAGGAAGGUAGGGGAGAAUGGAAUUCCUGGUGGAGCGGUGGAAUGCGCAGAUAUCAGGAGGAACACCAGUGGCGAAGGCGGUUCUCUGGGCCUUUCCUGACGCUGAGGAGCGAAAGCGUGGGGAGCGAACAGGCUUAGAUACCCUGGUAGUCCACGCUGUAAACGGUGGGUACUAGGUGUGGGGUCCAUUCCACGGGUUCCGUGCCGUAGCUAACGCUUUAAGUACCCCGCCUGGGGAGUACGGCCGCAAGGCUAAAACUCAAAGGAAUUGACGGGGCCCCGCACAAGCGGCGGAGCAUGCGGAUUAAUUCGAUGCAACGCGUAGAACCUUACCUGGGUUUGACAUGGAUCGGGAGUGCUCAGAGAUGGGUGUGCCUCUUUUGGGGUCGGUUCACAGGUGGUGCAUGGCUGUCGUCAGCUCGUGUCGUGAGAUGUUGGGUUAAGUCCCGCAACGAGCGCAACCCUUGUUCACUGUUGCCAGCACGUUAUGGUGGGGACUCAGUGGAGACCGCCGGGGUCAACUCGGAGGAAGGUGGGGAUGACGUCAAGUCAUCAUGCCCCUUAUGUCCAGGGCUUCACGCAUGCUACAAUGGCUGGUACAGAGAGUGGCGAGCCUGUGAGGGUGAGCGAAUCUCGGAAAGCCGGUCUCAGUUCGGAUUGGGGUCUGCAACUCGACCUCAUGAAGUCGGAGUCGCUAGUAAUCGCAGAUCAGCAACGCUGCGGUGAAUACGUUCCCGGGGCUUGUACACACCGCCCGUCAAGUCAUGAAAGUUGGUAACACCCGAAGCCGGUGGCCUAACCGUUGUGGGGGAGCCGUCGAAGGUGGGACUGG
RNAcentral lists this ribosomal RNA (1428 nucleotides) under uncultured organism. Its description in RNAcentral is "16S ribosomal RNA". It matches the Rfam family "Bacterial small subunit ribosomal RNA". The record is from RNAcentral.